Long non-coding RNA from Musa acuminata AAA Group (dessert banana), 3179 nucleotides. RefSeq lists it as uncharacterized. Lineage: Eukaryota; Viridiplantae; Streptophyta; Magnoliopsida; Zingiberales; Musaceae. The transcript is spliced from 2 exons. The record is from RefSeq and is a predicted model, not a curated record.
UGAUGCCUUUUGGUCUGACAAAUGCCCCUGCAGCUUUUAUGGAACUAAUGAAUAGGAUAUUUCAACCGCUCUUGGAUAUCUGUGUAAUUGUAUUUAUUGAUGACAUAUUGGUGUAUUCAAAGAGUAAUCAGGAGCAUGAGGAACACUUGAGAGAUGUAUUGUCCAUACUAAGAGAAAAGAAGUUGUAUGCGAAGUUCAACAAAUGUGAAUUUUGGUUGAAUGAAGUUGCUUUCUUAGGUCUUGUGAUUUCAGGGAAGGGUAUAUCUGUUGAUCCAAGGAAAAUAGAAGCUGUAGUUGAAUGGGAAGUACCAACAAAUGUAACAGAAGUUCGAAGCUUUUUGGGCAUGGCAGGUUAUUACAGGAGAUUUGUGGAGGGAUUUUCUCGAAUCGCUCAACCUCUCACCAAACUCACUAAGAAGAAUAUGAAAUUUGUAUGGGGUGAUGAUUGUGAGCAAAGUUUUCAAGAGUUAAAAAAGAAGAUUGACUAGUGCCCCUAUUCUCACUAUUCCAAGUGGUAGUGAGGGAUUUGUAGUUUAUACUGAUGCUUCAAGAAAGGGCCUAGGAUGUGUUUUGAUGCAGGAAGGGAGAGUAAUUGCUUAUGCUUCUAGGCCACUUAAAGGUUAUGAAUUGAAUUAUCCAACUCAUGAUUUGGAAUUGGCAGCAAUUAUUUUUGCUCUAAAGAUUUGGAGACAUUAUUUGUAUGGUCGACAGUUUGAAAUCUUUACUGAUCACAAGAGUUUAAAAUAUAUUUUCACUCAGAAGGAGUUAAACAUGAGGCAGCGAAGAUGGAUAGAACUUCUGAAGGAUUAUGAUUGUGCCAUCCGUUAUCACCCGGGCAAAGCCAAUGUUAUAGCUGAUGCACUUAGUAGGAAAUCUACAAGUUUUAUGGCUAGUUUGGUCGUGAAGCAAUGGAAGUCAUUAGAAGAAAGUUUUGAUUUGAAAGCUUUGAGAAAAGAGCAAGACUCGAUGAUAUUGAUGGCCUCCAUUCAAGUGCAAUCUGAUCUUAUUCAACAAAUUAAGGAAGGACAAUUACGAGAUCCACAUUUAAUUUACUUGAGGAGUGAAGUAGAAAAGGAAUUGAAGCCACAAUUUCAAGUUUCAAAGGAUGGCCUAUUGAGAUUUGGGGAGAGAGUAUGUGUACCAAAUGAACCAGAUAUCAAGAAUCAAAUCCUAAAUGAAAGUCAUACUUCAAAGUACACCCUACACCCUGGAAGCACUAAGAUGUAUAGAGAUCUUCAAAGUCAUUAUUGGUGGGAAGGUAUGAAGAAGGAAAUUGCAAUGUAUGUUUCAAAAUGUUUGACUUGUCAGCAAAUCAAAGUAGAACACCAAAGACCUGGAGGGUUGUUACAACCUUUAGAUAUUCCUGAAUGGAAAUGGGAAUGCAUUACUAUGGAUUUUGUUUCAGGACUACCCAGAACCUCUAAAAAGCAUGAUGCUAUUUGGGUUAUCAUUGAUAGGUUAACAAAAUCUGCACAUUUCCUACCGAUUAAUAUGACUUAUUCGCUUGAUAGACUUGCAGAUUUAUAUGUUAAUGAAAUAGUAAGACUUCAUGGUAUUCCAAAGGAGAUUAUCUCUGAUAGAGACUCCAGAUUUCUCUCUAGAUUCUGGAGAAGAUUGUAGGAGUCGAUGGGCACUAAAGUUAAGUUUAGUACUGCAUAUCAUCCUCAGACUGAUGGUUAGUCAGAAAGAACAAUUCAAACACUUGAGGAUUUGCUUAGAGCCUAUGUUAUGGAUUGGAAAGGUGAAUGGGAUAAGGAUAUUUCACUUGUUGAGUUCACGUAUAAUAAUAGUUAUCAUUCAAGUAUUCAGAUGGCUCCUUAUGAAGCUUUAUAUGGGCGAAAGUGCAUAACACCUACAUGUUGGGAGGAAGUUGGUAACAGAAAGCUGUUAGCACCGGACAAGGUACAAGAAACUUCCGAGAAAAUUCAAGUUAUAAGGAAAAGGUUAAAAACUGCUCAGAGUCGUCAAAAGAGUUAUGCCGACAAUAGAAGGCGAGAUAUUGAGUUUGAAAUCGGAGAUUUUGUAUUCUUAAAAGUCUCCCCUUCCAAAGGCAUUAUAAGGUUUGGGAAGAAAGGAAAAUUAAGCCCAAGAUUUAUUGGACCUUUUGAGGUUCUUGAGAGGGUUGGUUCUGUCGCUUACAGGAUUGCCUUACCACCAGCAUUGAGCCAUGUCCAUGAUAUAUUUCAUGUCUCGAUGAUUAGAAAGUAUAUGUAUGACCCUUCUCACAUCAUUAAGUAUGAGCUGGUGGAGAUCGAUAAAGAUUUAUCCUAUGUGGAAGAGCCUAUUCAGAUUAUUGAUAAGAAAGAAAAAGUCCUAAGGAAUCGGGUCAUUCCACUGGUUCAAGUAAUUUGGAGACAUCAUUCUGGAGCGGAGACAACUUGGGAGCUAGAAGAGGAAAUGAAAAAGGUGUAUCCUCGUCUUUUCAUCGAAUAGAGGUACGAUAAAUUUAGAGGACUAAAUUUUUCUUUUAAGGGGGGGAGAGUGUAACACCCCUCAUUUCCGAAUGUUCGUAUAAAUUUUUGGGGAUAAUGUAAGCAUCUAUUUUAAUUGACAAAAGAAAUAGAGUAUGGAUUAGAGGUAACUUAUUUUUAAGAUUUGGGAGAUCUGUUAAAAAAAAAAAAAAAAAAGAAUCUGAGGACCUAUAUGUAAACCCUAAGGACCUAAUCGUGAAUAUGAUAAAAACAAGGACUAAUCUGUAAAAUGCACCAAAUGACAAAUCCCACCGCUUAAGCUUCUCUGCCUUCGUUCUUAAGGAAGCAGAGAAGGCAGCUCGUGGGUGAUCAGGGAAAGAAAGAAAGAAAGAAGAAGAAGAAGAAGAAGAAGAAGAAGAAGAGAAACAAAAAUUGGGGCUUUUGGGGUUCCUGCUUUAAUCUUUUCAUUGGGGGUCAAAAUUCUCAAAGGAUAGCGUAUCGCUUGCUUAAAUGUUAAGAAUGGGCUGAGGCAGUGGAAAGUUUAGAAGACGUUGGGCAGAACUUUUGUUAGCAUAUAUGUAGUUGUGUAUGAGCUACCUUGCAUCUAAUGAAAUGUGACUAUGAAUCUAAACCUAUGGAUUUUGUGUAAGUUAAUGGAUCCCUCAUGUAUAGGGUUUUGGAAUGUUAAAUUAAAUUCGUGUAAUGAUAUGAACUUAUGGUAAAUCGAUGUUUGUGGUGACUGCAUAGAUUUCCCCACUUGUGGAUUUA